Molecule: long non-coding RNA, 648 nt
Organism: Xenopus laevis (African clawed frog)
Lineage: Eukaryota; Metazoa; Chordata; Amphibia; Anura; Pipidae
Exons: 3
Source: RefSeq, a predicted model, not a curated record
AGUAAUGUUCCCAGAAUUAUUACAAAUAGAUUUCAUUGCACCCUUUUUCUUUUCUCUGUUUGAAUAGGCAGUUUGCAGCAGAUGUCAUUGCACAGAUGUUACUUGAGUUAGAAUUGUCAGAAUCAUUUCACAGUCUCCAGCAAGCUGUUGCCAAUGAAAAGGAAAGAAAGGCCAACUUAUAUAAUGUUAUAACCAGGCAGCAAGCAUGGGGAAUUUUGUCUUUACGAGAUAAGGAUGGACCUGGGCAGACAAGAUGUGGACUCUUUUAACAUUAAAUAUAGAAACACUGGCAAAUGCUUAAUAUUUGAAGCUCCAAGCGUGGUGGAGAGCUAUGAUAGUGUGGAAAGGGCGAGGAAGCUACAAGAAAACGAAAAAAAAAUCCGGCAAGGAAAAAGGCAAAGCCAAAAAAUGGUGGCAAAAAUAAAUGAUCUCCUCCUCGAUUCUUCCCUUCUGUCAAGAAGCGGACAAGGGUUUGCAAAUUUUCAGCUUACAAGCUUCUAGUCAAGAACAAAUGAGAUGUAUAAUAAAAAGGUGCUAUGAACAAAAAUGCGCCUAUGAUUUAGUUACACAAGCUGUCGUUGGAUAAUUAUGCGCACAUCAGCAAAAACGACAACUUCAUAUUUUUAAAACUGCAGCUUUUAAUUCAAA